CCUACGGGGAGCUGCAGUGAGGAAUAUUGGUCAAUGGACGAGCGUCUGAACCAGCCAAGUAGCGUGAAGGAUGACUGCCCUAUGGGUUGUAAACUUCUUUUAUAAAGGAAUAAAACGAGGCACGUGUGCCUUUUUGCAUGUACUUUAUGAAUAAGGAUCGGCUAACUCCGUGCCAGCAGCCGCGGUAAUACGGAGGAUCCGAGCGUUAUCCGGAUUGAUUGGGUUUAAAGGGAGCGUAGAUGGGUUGUUAAGUCAGUUGUGAAAGUUUGCGGCUCAACCGUAAAAUUGCAAUUGAUACUGGCAGUCUUGAGUACAGUUGAGGUAGGCGGAAUUCGUGGUGUAGCGGUGAAAUGCUUAGAUAUCACGAAGAACCCCGAUUGCGAAGGCAGCUUACUAAACUGUGACUGACAUUGAUGCUCGAAAGUGUGGGUAUCAAACAGGAUUAGAUACCCUAGUAGUC
RNAcentral lists this ribosomal RNA (460 nucleotides) under uncultured bacterium. RNAcentral describes it as "partial 16S ribosomal RNA". It matches the Rfam family "Bacterial small subunit ribosomal RNA", at positions 338 to 795 of the family's 1533-position model. The record is from RNAcentral.